This 465-nucleotide ribosomal RNA is filed under the name uncultured bacterium. RNAcentral describes it as "partial 16S ribosomal RNA". It matches the Rfam family "Bacterial small subunit ribosomal RNA", at positions 28 to 507 of the family's 1533-position model. The record is from RNAcentral.
GACGAACGCUGGCGGCGUGCUUAACACAUGCAAGUCGUACGGUAGGGCCCUUUCGGGGGUACACGAGUGGCGAACGGGUGAGUAACACGUGAGUAACCUGCCCACAACUUUGGGAUAACGCUAGGAAACUGGUGCUAAUACUGGAUAUGUGCUCCUGCUGCGUGGUGGGGGUUGGAAAGCUCCGGCGGUUGUGGAUGGACUCGCGGCCUAUCAGCUUGUUGGUGGGGUAGUGGCCUACCAAGGCGGCGACGGGUAGCCGGCCUGAGAGGGUGACCGGCCACAUUGGGACUGAGAUACGGCCCAGACUCCUACGGGAGGCAGCAGUGGGGAAUAUUGCACAAUGGGCGCAAGCCUGAUGCAGCAACGCCGCGUGCGGGAUGACGGCCUUCGGGUUGUAAACCGCUUUCAGCAGGGACGAAGCUUUUUGUGACGGUACCUGCAGAAGAAGCACCGGCUAACUACGUG